GCCAGGUGUGGUGAUGUGCACUUGUAGUCCCAGCUACUCAGGAGGCUGAGGCAGGAGGAUCUCUUGAGUUCAAGAAGUCAAGGCUGCAGUGAGCUGUGAUUGUGCCACUGCACUCCAGCCUGGACAACAAAGUGAGACCCUGUCUCUA
Molecule: unclassified non-coding RNA, 148 nt
Organism: Macaca mulatta (Rhesus monkey)
Lineage: Eukaryota; Metazoa; Chordata; Mammalia; Primates; Cercopithecidae
Rfam family: Metazoan signal recognition particle RNA
About the family: The signal recognition particle (SRP) is a universally conserved ribonucleoprotein. It is involved in the co-translational targeting of proteins to membranes. The eukaryotic SRP consists of a 300-nucleotide 7S RNA and six proteins: SRPs 72, 68, 54, 19, 14, and 9.
Source: Ensembl